CGUAGGGGGCAAGCGUUGUCCGGAUUUAUUGGGCGUAAAGAGCGUGUAGGCGGCCAGACAGGUCCGUUGUGAAAACUGGAGGCUUAACCUCCAGACGUCGAUGGAAACCGUCUGGCUAGAGUCCGGAAGAGGAGAGUGGAAUUCCUGGUGUAGCGGUGAAAUGCGCAGAUAUCAGGAAGAACACCCGUGGCUAAGGCGGCCCUCUAGUACGGUACUGACGCUGAGACGCGAAAGCGUGGGGAGCAAACAGGAUUAGAUACCCUGGUAGUCCACGCCGUAAACGAUGGGUGCUAGGUGUGGGGGGUGUCGACUCCCUCCGUGCCGAAGCUAACGCAUUAAGCACCCCGCCUGGGGAGUACGGCCGCAAGGCUA
This 372-nucleotide ribosomal RNA is filed under the name uncultured organism. Its description in RNAcentral is "bacterial SSU rRNA". It matches the Rfam family "Bacterial small subunit ribosomal RNA", at positions 526 to 896 of the family's 1533-position model. The record is from RNAcentral.